Molecule: long non-coding RNA, 1090 nt
Filed under: Citrus sinensis (sweet orange)
Lineage: Eukaryota; Viridiplantae; Streptophyta; Magnoliopsida; Sapindales; Rutaceae
Description: long non-coding RNA (CSIN_LNC002622)
Source: RNAcentral
CCACUAAUUCGAUCUUCGAAAGGUCUCAGAGCUCCAAGUAACUCAGUAAGCUCGGUUUUCUUCUAUUCUCUUGGAUACUUGCUUACACAUUCCUUUUUUUUGUGUUAAAUUUGUUGUUUUGUUGUGUUAUAUGGAUCGAUGAGAGUCACAGACUUUGAAUUGAAAAAUGAAAAUUAGUUUUUUUUUCUGUGCUACAAAAAUGGGCGGAGACUGCAAGCAAGAGGGAAUGAAGCGACUCGAGUCACGAAGAGUCCUGUGACUUGCGAGAGGUGACAUGUAACUAUGAGAAAUUGAAAUAUUUGAUUAUCGAGUAAAUAACAUUGAGUUCCCUAUAUUUUUAUUUUUAGUAAAUAACGAUACAUUAGUUUCAGUUUAUUUCAAAUAGGUUCCUCAUCCUUUGCCAGUGACCAAGUUGUGCAACCCUAACAUCCACAGCACCUCUUUUCGCUUCAAUCAUGACCGGAGCAUCAGAGCUUGAGUCUAUCCUUUUAUGUUCAUCUCCGUCUUGUUCUUCAUCCAUUUUUGCAUCUUCUACAUGAAUGGCUUCUGGUUCUUUGGUUUGAUUUUCUUCUGUGCUGCCUUUUGGUUCUCUCCCUUCGCCGACUUGUUCAGCCACUUUCGUAGUUUCAAUUCUGGAGCUCUGAAGGGGGCCAGUCAAUGAAGCUGUAGCUGAGUCCAUCAAUGCUGAUUCCUCAGUUUUUAUUUCCCCUGAUUCUUGUGGUUGUUGCUCUCCUUCGAGGUUAAUCUUUGCUUUUUGUGGAGUUUCUGUGGUUCCUUAUUGCUCAAAAAUUUUUGGCGCAAACUCAUCUCCAGUUUGAACUGGUGUGUAUGGGCGCUCAAUGAGAUCUGCUUCAGUUGUUGCAUAAGAGCUUUUCUCUAACUCACUAGUUUCUUGAAUGAUUUUGCUGUCUGUUGCAAACCCCCUUAUGCUUUCUUUUUGUGACAUCGCCAUACUCGAUUCUUGAUAAAAUUAAAAGUAAAGCUGCUCAAAUUGUGAAAAAUAAAAGAAAAACCGAAAUGUCUAAUUAAUAUCUGCAAGCAAAAUGGCUUUCAUAAUUUAGCUGCAUUCUUGUCCUACUAAGUUAUGUUU